AGAACGAACGCUGGCGGCAUGCCUAACACAUGCAAGUCGAACGAGACCUUCGGGUCUAGUGGCGCACGGGUGCGUAACGCGUGGGAAUCUGCCCUUGGGUUCGGGAUAACAGUUGGAAACGACUGCUAAUACCGGAUAAUGACUUCGGUCCAAAGAUUUAUUGCCCAGGGAUGAGCCCGCGUAGGAUUAGCUAGUUGGUGAGGUAAAGGCUCACCAAGGCGACGAUCCUUAGCUGGUCUGAGAGGAUGAUCAGCCACCCUGGGACUGAGACACGGCCCAGACUCCUACGGGAGGCAGCAGUGGGGAAUAUUGGACAAUGGGCGAAAGCCUGAUCCAGCAAUGCCGCGUGAGUGAUGAAGGCCUUAGGGUUGUAAAGCUCUUAUACCCGGGAUGAUAAUGACAGUACCGGAGAAUAAGCCCCGGCUAACUCCGUGCCAGCAGCCGC
RNAcentral lists this ribosomal RNA (445 nucleotides) under uncultured soil bacterium. Its description in RNAcentral is "bacterial SSU rRNA". It matches the Rfam family "Bacterial small subunit ribosomal RNA", at positions 26 to 518 of the family's 1533-position model. The record is from RNAcentral.